AUUGAACGCUGGCGGCAGGCUUAACACAUGCAAGCCGAGCGGAGAGAGGUAGCUUGCUACUGAUCUUAGCGGCGGACGGGUGAGUAAUGCUUAGGAAUCUGCCUAUUAGUGGGGGACAACAUUUCGAAAGGAAUGCUAAUACCGCAUACGUCCUACGGGAGAAAGCAGGGGAUCUUCGGACCUUGCGCUAAUAGAUGAGCCUAAGUCGGAUUAGCUAGUUGGUGGGGUAAAGGCCUACCAAGGCGACGAUCUGUAGCGGGUCUGAGAGGAUGAUCCGCCACACUGGGACUGAGACACGGCCCAGACUCCUACGGGAGGCAGCAGUGGGGAAUAUUGGACAAUGGGCGGAAGCCUGAUCCAGCCAUGCCGCGUGUGUGAAGAAGGCCUUAUGGUUGUAAAGCACUUUAAGCGAGGAGGAGGCUACUUUAGUUAAUACCUAGAGAUAGUGGACGUUAUUCGCAGAAUAAGCACCGGCUAACUCUGUGCCAGCAGCCGCCGUAA
This 501-nucleotide ribosomal RNA is filed under the name uncultured bacterium. RNAcentral describes it as "partial 16S ribosomal RNA". It matches the Rfam family "Bacterial small subunit ribosomal RNA", at positions 30 to 523 of the family's 1533-position model. The record is from RNAcentral.